RNAcentral lists this ribosomal RNA (252 nucleotides) under uncultured Gardnerella sp. Its description in RNAcentral is "partial 16S ribosomal RNA". It matches the Rfam family "Bacterial small subunit ribosomal RNA", at positions 103 to 355 of the family's 1533-position model. Lineage: Bacteria; Bacillati; Actinomycetota; Actinomycetes; Bifidobacteriales; Bifidobacteriaceae. The record is from RNAcentral.
CGGGUGAGUAAUGCGUGACCAACCUGCCCCAUGCUCCAGAAUAGCUCUUGGAAACGGGUGGUAAUGCUGGAUGCUCCAACUUGACGCAUGUCUUGUUGGGAAAGUGUUUAGUGGCAUGGGAUGGGGUCGCGUCCUAUCAGCUUGUAGGCGGGGUAAUGGCCCACCUAGGCUUCGACGUGUAGCCGGCCUGAGAGGGCGGACGGCCACAUUGGGACUGAGAUACGGCCCAGACUCCUACGGGAGGCAGCAGUU